UUAACUACGUAACUAGUGUGCUGGUAAUUUUUAUUAUGAUUACCCUUAUUAUAUCUUAGGUUGUUUUUUUUUCAGAUUAUAUGUUUUUUCAAGCUUGAUUCGUGUUUAGAUAGCGAAUAAUGUAAUUAAGGCGGUGCACUGGUAUGUAGAUAAUUAGUUAUUUAUGGUGCAUCAUGUUAAUUGCUUUAUUUGGAUCAUUAGCGGAGGAGGAAUGUUCAAUGAAGGACUUACUGUUAGAUAUCUUCAUUUACUUAUUUAUCGUAUUUCUGUUGUAACGAGCAGAUUACUGGGUUGAUUUGCACAUAGUUAAGUGGCAGCUGCUGGAUAAGUGUGUAUAAAAGCGGGUUUACACGGGGCAAUUCGCGGCAGGUUUUAGCCGGGAAUGUGUGUGUGUGUGUGUAGCAGUGUCAAGGUUGAGGCGUGAUUGUGGAUGUUUAUUGUGGAUUGGCUGGGAUAUGUUGAGCUCUUGUAGUGUGAAAAUAGACAAUGAUACAUGUUGUACUUCAUAAUCAGUGGAAUAGCUUGACCUCUUACUGUAAGAUAGACAAUGAUACAUGUUAUACUUCAUAAUCCAUGAUAUUUGCAGACAUCUUAGUGUAAAAAAGACAUGUUGUACUUAAAAAAGACAUGUACUUAAUAAUCAGUCAAAUGUACCUAUCUCCUAGCUGUCAUUUUUCUCUACUAUUUCCUUGCCUACCCUUAGCUUUACCCUUGGACUCUGCUCCCAUAUUAUCAGACUUUACAGGGUGAGGCCAUUUUCAACUUUUGUGUAUACCAUUACUUAGUGGCUGAGAUGCUGUGACUGUCAGGAGGGGAGCCUCUUGCAACUUUUGUGUAUACCAUUAUAUUUAGUGGGUGAUAUGCUCAGACUGUCAGGGGUAACAGUAGUAGUGAAGAUUAACUUGGUGCACAGUAUGAAGGCUGUUUGGUGUUGGAGGCAAGAUGUGGGAAUGAAUGAGGGGACCAAAGAGGGUAAUACCAGCACAGGAUAAGUGUGUGUAGGAUUGCCUGUUAGUAUAAUGUGACUUCAUGUUGAGAAGAUCAAGACACAACUGUUUUGAAUUGAUGGGGUACUUGAACUCGUUUAGUGUUAAGUUUUUUAUUUGUUUGUGUCUGUCGUGGUGUUUUUUGUUUUAUAUUUUGCAGGAAUUACUGGAUUGUUACAUUCACUUCAUUCUUGGGAUACUCAGGAUUGGUCUCAGUGCACCAGUAACCAAUGGCAACACAGAGGAAACUCCACAUCACAGCCCCCUUCUUGAAUUGACUUCAGUGCCUCAACAACCAAUGGCUACACAGUCUGAAGAAGCUCCAUCACAUCCAUGCAAACACCAACUGGGCACUCCGUGUGACUGGUGAUGGGUGGACGCUGAAUGUGCUGUGCUUGAGUAUAUUUGGUUAUUAAACCUUGUUGUUCCACUGAGCUGUGCUGAUGGUGGCUGGUGGCAGUGUUAGCAGAGCCCAAGCACAGCAUGCAUCCCUACUGGUGAUACCAUUAACCAUUUCCCUGCUAUUGACACAUCUCUCCUUAAUCUCUAACCACUGAGAGAUUUCUUCUUAUUCAACACCCACCUUCAAUCAUCAUAAUGGCUAGAAGUUGCAAAACCUAGCCUUGUAAUCCUUUUUGUUCUUGUAGACGCUUUUAAAAAUUUCAAACGUCAUUUUUAGUGUCGAGAAUUGUUGCAUAUCACAGGGAGAGUUAAUGCUGCGUGUGUUGCCUCCCUGCUUCUCCAAGGCUGUCAUGUCUCCAGUGUUACAUCUUUACUGAUGACUUUUAUCACAGCCUAAUCAUUAAGUAGAAAGAUCUAGUGUAAGAUGCAUUUUAAAUCUUGACUUUUUUUAUAUAUAAUUCAGAGUAUACAUCCUGGAACAGCCACCUACCUUCAGUAGUGCUUCAUGGUAUCACCCAACAGGCAUUCCUUCACCCUCUGUACAGGAAAAUGUGUGUGUGUGUGUGUGUGUGUGUUUACUUUCAGUGUUACUCAUGGAGCCUUUCCUUUAUAGAACUUAUAUUCCUUUAUGUGGCUGAGAAAUAUCUGUUUGAGGAAAUUAUCUUUAUUCUAUCAUGGACACCUCACUCCCUUUAGGACAUCAUCUAAAGGGUAGACAUGGCAGAAAAAUCUCCACCUCUCCCUAUCAAAACCUCCCUCCUCAUGUUUGAAAUGCUCUGCCUCUAAGUAGCAUCUGUUUCACAUUAUGCACACCCUUAUCUUGUCCUUCCACUUUCUAAGUGGCCUUCCUCUCUCAUAUUAAUGUCUAUUUUUUCCACUUGUAUGCACUUGAAUGUUCCAUUAUUCAUGUUGUGACUAAGGCUGAAUUGUUUCAAGGUGCUCCUCCUCCACCAUUCAACCACCCCACAUUUCACUUCAGUUUCACAGGUGCUCUCAUUCUGCAUUUCUUCUAUACACUCAUUGCUUUCACUCUCCCUUCAUGGCACUCUGUAUGCUUCACUGAGAAAACUCAUUUUCACACCAUGCACUCUUUCCUUGCCCUUUUCCAUCUCCAGGUUUUCGUCUGCACAUCAGUGUUGCCAGGAGAAUACUGUUCAUAAAAUUUCUCUUAAUAUCCCCACACAUUUCUUCUUUCUAUAUUUACUUUGUAACAGUCCUCUUCAGUACACAGUGUGGCAGAUUUGUCAUCAAAAGAUAUCCUUCAAGAAGAGUUCUAACACCAUAUUAGUGAUGAAGUAUUGUCAGUGUUAGGAAGAUGUUCCUGGGGUUGUAAUGAGAAAGACAGGUGUUAGUUUAGAAUGAGCAUUUUUCCUCCUCAAAGAUAUUCCCUUUACUGUUGAAAUGGCAUCCAGUCAGUCAGUCGAGUAGUGUGUGCCUUGGAAACCAAAGAGAAAGAUGCCAGCCUGAGAAGAAUCUGGAGGUGUGUAGUCCCUUUUAGCUCCCUGAUUCGUGCAUUAUUUACUGAACUGACUGUGGCUUUGUGAAGUGUCUCUUUGAGGAAAAAACACUUUCUAAAUAACUUCCUGGUUCAUCACAAAGAGAACAUCAUACAUUCCUUGUAGUUUACAUUCCUUGUAGUUUAUAAAAGAUAGACAAGAUUUAAGUAGCAAAACAAUGUGGUAGAAUUUUAUACAAGAUCAAACCAUGGCUUGAAAAUACUUUAUAAAUGACUAACUGAUGAUUGAAGGAGAGACAAGUGGGCAGCAUGCACAGCAUUCAUGGCAUUGUCAAAAUCAGAGUGCAUGCUGUGAAGUGUUAAAUGACAUGCAGACAUUAAGUUUUUGUUCACUUUGCAGGAGAGGGAGCGACGCAGCCACAAGGUGUGAUAAUGUCAGGAACACAUCUAUUGCAGGGAGGGAUUCUGGCAGAUGCUGGUCACACAAGACUGGUGUGUGUGUGUGUGUGUUGAUGUUAUGCAAGUACACUAGUGUGUUUUAUGUGAUAUUUUACACUGAAAUAGAGCAGGUAAAAUAAUUUGAUAGAAGCAAGAUUGUUGUAAUCACUGUAAAGUGGAACAAGUUGAAUGGAGUGGUUUUGCUCCAUGCAUUUUGUAUCAAAAUGCAACUAUUUGACAAAUUAGUAAACAAAUUUGCUGCCGUCUGUAAAAAGAAGUUGGUGGGGGACAUUUUACCCAUGAAAAUUUGACCAACUUUAUAUACAUACCCUGGGCUGAUGAGUGCCACUCCUGGCACUCCUGCUGAAAGCCAGUGUGCUGCCACAUGCAGGGUGUUCCUUCUUUAAUUUUCAGAGCAAAAUUGUCCCCUGAACUUUAUAAAAAAGGAGGGUGACAGGUUUAUUAUACUAAUUUUUUAUUUAAUUGCAUUUUAUUGAUUCACGUUACUAUUAAAGUCACUGCUUCUUUGAAAUGUAAUACAACUUUCAUCUGCUGCUCUCUUUAUUGUAGAAAGAUCACAAAUGCUGCUUCUCUUUGUUGUAGAAAGAUCACAAAACACUCUGGUAUAUGAUGCUGGUUCAUAUACCAAUCUUGUGUAGCCCAUCACUUCCAGCGAGAGCAACCUCCCUGCACUACACUACUGAAUCUAACUAAGAAAAGGCAAGUAAUUCAAGAAAUUAGAAGUGGCAUAAUCCAUCCCCACACAUGCAUGCAUGCCUAGAGGCAAGAAUGUGAGACUUAUCAGAUCAGAUUUUUUGUUUUAAUUUUGACCAGGGUUCUUCACAAGGUUCACAAACAGUAGUCUUGCACCUGCUAUCAGUGUGUAACAGGCUGAAGUGGAAUUCUUGUCCCAGGUUAAAAGACACUGCAGUCAGUGCUGACCAAAUCUUCAUUUAAAUUUAAAGCCUUGGUUGUCAGGUAGGUGUGUGCUGCUGCACUGAGUGACCUGGUGAACGUUCAGUCCCCAGCAAUACUAAUUUAUCCCACCUUCAGAUAAAUUUCCAGCAUUUCCAUUGCCAUGUCCUUUGAAUCACCAUGGAAACCAAAAUUGUUCUGAAAGCAGGUUAAAUUGACAGAGGCUUGCUUCUAUACCAGGGACCAAACCUCUGCCAGGACACUAGCAGAAAACAAGUCCAAAGUGACCAGUCAGGUCAUAGCUAGCAAGAUUUUGGUCAGACCUGAUUCCACCACAGUGACUUGUGGGCAAUGUCAGGUUCACAUGCAACAAAUCCAAAAAUAGAGAAUGUGAAUGUGAAUAUUGAAGGUGUCAUGAGAACACUUCAAAAAUAUUGGUGUACAAAAAGUAGCAGAUAUUUUGAAGGGAAUGUUGCCGAGGAGCAUUAUUAACAUCUGCCUGUGCAGAUUUAAAGUUUAUAAGCAUCAAAAGUGGAUUGGCUGUAAAUAAAUAUUCCAGGCACAUACGACUAAAAUAACAUGCUGAACUGCAAUCUUUCCCUCUAAGUAUCUCAACACUUUCUGAAGCUGAUGCACUCGUGCACAUCAAUGUUUGCA
Scylla paramamosain (green mud crab) is the source of this 4854-nucleotide long non-coding RNA. RefSeq lists it as uncharacterized. The transcript has 3 exons. The record is from RefSeq and is a predicted model, not a curated record. NCBI's taxonomy places the organism in Eukaryota, Metazoa, Arthropoda, Malacostraca, Decapoda, Portunidae.